Molecule: transfer RNA, 73 nt
Filed under: Stegodyphus mimosarum
Lineage: Eukaryota; Metazoa; Arthropoda; Arachnida; Araneae; Eresidae
Rfam family: tRNA
About the family: Transfer RNA (tRNA) molecules are approximately 80 nucleotides in length. Their secondary structure includes four short double-helical elements and three loops (D, anti-codon, and T loops).
Source: Rfam by way of RNAcentral
GUGUUCGUGGUGUAGUGGUCAGCACGUUCGGCGAAUAUUCGAGAGGUCCGUGGUUCGAGUCCCGGCGAGGGCG